RNAcentral lists this ribosomal RNA (440 nucleotides) under uncultured bacterium. Its description in RNAcentral is "partial 16S ribosomal RNA". It matches the Rfam family "Bacterial small subunit ribosomal RNA", at positions 338 to 795 of the family's 1533-position model. The record is from RNAcentral.
CCUACGGGGCGCUGCAGUGGGGGAUAUUGCACAAUGGGGGGAACCCUGAUGCAGCGACGCCGCGUGGGUGAAGGAGUGCUUCGGCAUGUAAAGCCCUAUCGGCAGGGAAGAAGCAAGACGGUACCUGACUAAGAAGCCCCGGCUAACUACGUGCCAGCAGCCGCGGUAAUACGUAGGAUGCGAGCGUUAUCCGGAUUUAUUGGGUUUAAAGGGUGCGUAGGCGGUCCGUUAAGUCAGCGGUAAAAUUGCGGGGCUCAACCCCGUCGAGCCGUUGAAACUGGCAGACUUGAGUUGGCGAGAAGUACGCGGAAUGCGCGGUGUAGCGGUGAAAUGCAUAGAUAUCGCGCAGAACUCCGAUUGCGAAGGCAGCGUACCGGCGCCAGACUGACGCUGAGGCACGAAAGCGUGGGGAUCGAACAGGAUUAGAUACCCCGGUAGUC